This 692-nucleotide ribosomal RNA is filed under the name Staphylococcus aureus. RNAcentral describes it as "partial 23S ribosomal RNA". It matches the Rfam family "Bacterial large subunit ribosomal RNA", at positions 12 to 701 of the family's 2925-position model. The record is from RNAcentral. Lineage: Bacteria; Bacillati; Bacillota; Bacilli; Caryophanales; Staphylococcaceae. RNAcentral also lists the same sequence under 2 other names.
UAAGGGCGCACGGUGGAUGCCUUGGCACUAGAAGCCGAUGAAGGACGUUACUAACGACGAUAUGCUUUGGGGAGCUGUAAGUAAGCUUUGAUCCAGAGAUUUCCGAAUGGGGAAACCCAGCAUGAGUUAUGUCAUGUUAUCGAUAUGUGAAUACAUAGCAUAUCAGAAGGCACACCCGGAGAACUGAAACAUCUUAGUACCCGGAGGAAGAGAAAGAAAAUUCGAUUCCCUUAGUAGCGGCGAGCGAAACGGGAAGAGCCCAAACCAACAAGCUUGCUUGUUGGGGUUGUAGGACACUCUAUACGGAGUUACAAAGGACGACAUUAGACGAAUCAUCUGGAAAGAUGAAUCAAAGAAGGUAAUAAUCCUGUAGUCGAAAAUGUUGUCUCUCUUGAGUGGAUCCUGAGUACGACGGAGCACGUGAAAUUCCGUCGGAAUCUGGGAGGACCAUCUCCUAAGGCUAAAUACUCUCUAGUGACCGAUAGUGAACCAGUACCGUGAGGGAAAGGUGAAAAGCACCCCGGAAGGGGAGUGAAAUAGAACCUGAAACCGUGUGCUUACAAGUAGUCAGAGCCCGUUAAUGGGUGAUGGCGUGCCUUUUGUAGAAUGAACCGGCGAGUUACGAUUUGAUGCAAGGUUAAGCAGUAAAUGUGGAGCCGUAGCGAAAGCGAGUCUGAAUAGGGCGUUUAGUA